GACGAACGCUGGCGGCGUGCUUAACACAUGCAAGUCGAACGGUAAGGCCCUUUCGGGGGUACACGAGUGGCGAACGGGUGAGUAACACGUGGGUGAUCUGCCCUGCACUUUGGGAUAGGCCUGGGAAACUGGGUCUAAUACCGGAUAGGACUACGCGAUGCAUGUCGUGUGGUGGAAAGCUUUUGCGGUGUGGGAUGGGCCCGCGGCCUAUCAGCUUGUUGGUGGGGUGAUGGCCUACCAAGGCGACGACGGGUAGCCGGCCUGAGAGGGUGUCCGGCCACACUGGGACUGAGAUACGGCCCAGACUCCUACGGGAGGCAGCAGUGGGGAAUAUUGCACAAUGGGCGCAAGCCUGAUGCAGCGACGCCGCGUGGGGGAUGACGGCCUUCGGGUUGUAAACCCCUUUCAGCACAGACGAAGCGUAAGUGACGGUAUGUGCAGAAGAAGCACCGGCCAACUACGUG
Molecule: ribosomal RNA, 464 nt
Filed under: uncultured bacterium
Lineage: Bacteria
Description: partial 16S ribosomal RNA
Rfam family: Bacterial small subunit ribosomal RNA
Source: RNAcentral